CGUCUAGGCGGUUUGGUAUGUCUGCUGUGAAAAUUCGGGGCUCAACUCCGUAUUGCGUUGGAAACUGUCAAACUAGAGUACUGGAGAGGUAGGCGGAACUACAAGUGUAGAGGUGAAAUGCGUAGAUAUUUGUAGGAAUGCCGAUGGGGAAGCCAGCCGACUGGACAGAUACUGACGCUAAGGCGCGAAAGCGUGGGUAGCAA
RNAcentral lists this ribosomal RNA (203 nucleotides) under uncultured bacterium. Its description in RNAcentral is "partial 16S ribosomal RNA". It matches the Rfam family "Bacterial small subunit ribosomal RNA", at positions 568 to 771 of the family's 1533-position model. The record is from RNAcentral.